This 1212-nucleotide ribosomal RNA is filed under the name metagenome. RNAcentral's name for it is "SSU rRNA". It matches the Rfam family "Eukaryotic small subunit ribosomal RNA", at positions 558 to 1762 of the family's 1831-position model. The record is from RNAcentral.
AGUCUGGUGCCAGCAGCCGCGGUAAUUCCAGCUCCAAUAGUGUAUAUUAAAGUUGCUGCAGUUAAAAAGCUCGUAGUUGGAUUUUGAAUUAUAAAAAUUUAACAUUCAUCUUUUAGAUGUGAUUUAAUUUUUAUAUUCUUCCUUUUGAUACGCUCCAUUAAAUUAUAUUUUUUGGAUUUAAGUGUUUCAAAUUGUUUACUGUGAAAAAAUUAGAGUGUUCAAAGCAGGCGUAACCUAGCCUUUGAAUAUAUUAGCAUGGGAUAAUGAAAUAGGACUUUAAUCCUACUUUCGUUGGUGUCUAGGGCUAAAGUAAUGAUUAAUAGGGAUAGUUGGGGUCACUAGUAUUUAAUUGUCAGAGGUGAAAUUCUAAGAUUUAUUAAAGACUAACUACUGCGAAAGCAUUUGACAAGGAUGUUUUCAUUAAUCAAGAACGAAAGUUGGGGGAUCGAAGAUGAUCAGAUACCGUCGUAGUCUCAACCAUAAACUAUGCCGACCAAGGAUCCGAGGUUGUUAAUAUGGAUGACUCUUCGGGCACUUAUAGAGAAAUCAUAAGUAUUUGGGCUCCGGGGGGAGUAUGGUCGCAAGGCUGAAACUUAAAGGAAUUGACGGAAGGGCACCACAAGGAGUGGAACCUGCGGUUUAAUUUGACCCAACACGGGAAAACUUACCAGGUCCAGACACAGUGAGGAUUGACAGAUUGAGAGUUCUUUCUUGAUUCUGUGAGUGGUGGUGCAUGGCCGUUUCUAGUUGGUGGAGUGAUUUGUCUGGUUAAUUCCGUUAACGAACGAGACCUUAACCUAUUAAAUAGUUAUUUGAACUUGAUUUUUAAAAUCAAAUGUUUAAAAAACUUCUUAGAGGGACUCUUCACUGAGAGAGUGAAUGGAAGUUUGAGGCAAAAACAGGUCUGUGAUGCCCUUAGAUGUUCUGGGCCACACGCGCGUUACACUGACAUAUUCAACGAGCAUUAUCCUUACCCGUCGGGGUUGGGUAAUCUUUUAAAUGUAUGUCGUGCUGGGGAUAGAUCAUUGUAAUUAUUGGUCUUGAACGAGGAAUUCCUAGUAAGUGCGAGUCAUCAACUCGCGCUGAUUACGUCCCUGCCCUUUGUACACACCGCCCGUCGCUCCUACCGAUUGAAUGGUCCGGCGAGAACUCAGGAUGGAUAUGGAUUUUGGACACCGUUAGGUGCUCCAACCAUAUCCAGAAUUUGUUCAA